This 223-nucleotide ribosomal RNA is filed under the name uncultured bacterium. RNAcentral describes it as "partial 16S ribosomal RNA". It matches the Rfam family "Bacterial small subunit ribosomal RNA", at positions 109 to 334 of the family's 1533-position model. The record is from RNAcentral.
AGUAAUGCUUGGGAAUCUAGCCUAUGGAGGGGGGUAACUACGGGAAACUGUAGCUAAUACCGCGUAAUAUCGGAAGAUUAAAGUGUGGGACCUUCGGGCCACAUGCCAUAGGAUGAGCCCAAGUGGGAUUAGGUAGUUGGUGAGGUAAAGGGCUCACCAAGCCGACGAUCUCUAGCUGGUCUGAGAGGAUGACCAGCCACACUGGGACUGAGACACGGCCCAG